This is an RNA transcript of Myiozetetes cayanensis, 13837 nucleotides long. It is a transcript of the gene named solute carrier family 1 member 2, with no coding region annotated. NCBI's taxonomy places the organism in Eukaryota, Metazoa, Chordata, Aves, Passeriformes, Tyrannidae. The transcript is spliced from 11 exons. The record is from RefSeq and is a predicted model, not a curated record.
UAGAGAGGGAUUGACUGCAAAUCCACGGCUCGAGGGCUAAAACCUUCCAAUCCAGCCUCAGCCAGCGCCGCGCCGAUGUGAAGUCGCCCCCCACCUCCCGCUCGCAGCCGCGCACACACGCACACGCUCCCCGCGGCGAGGGGAGGGCGCCGGGGAUCGCAGCCCAGGUGCCAGCGCCUCCUCGCCCCGCCGGCCACUGCUGGGAGGCCGCGGGGCACCGACAGCCUGCUCUGGGACGGCGGGGUGGGGAACAGCCGAGGAGCGGAGCUGCCGGAUCCUCGCCCUGCGGAGCCCCGGGAUUUACAAGGAAUUGCGUGCUCCUUCCCAGACGUGAGCGAGGGUUAUACCAAAGAGCCAACCUCCGUCGCGCCCUGCUGUCCAAAUUAAUCCCUUGGACUCUUGAGAAGACAGGGGGGUUUUCGGAACCAUGGCAUCGACGGAAGGUGCCAACAAUAUGCCUAAGCAAGUAGAAGUCCGGAUGCAUGAAAGUCAUUUAAAUCCAGUGGAGCACAGAUCCGGGAACAUAUGUGUGCAGUUCUGCCAGUCACUCCACAGGAAUCUGCUCCUGACUCUUACUGUGUUUGGUGUUAUCCUGGGUGCAGUGUGUGGGGGUCUUCUUCGUCUAGCAACACCUAUUGACCCCGACAUCAUCAUGUUAAUAGCCUUCCCAGGAGAUAUACUUAUGCGGAUGCUAAAAAUGCUGAUCCUCCCUUUAAUUAUCUCCAGUUUAAUCACAGGACUGUCUGGUUUAGAUGCUAAAGCAAGUGGCCGACUGGGCACAAGAGCCAUGGUCUACUACAUGUCCACCACUAUUAUUGCUGCUGUGCUGGGUGUGAUUUUGGUUUUAGCCAUCCAUCCAGGGAAUCCGAAACUCAAGAAACAGCUUGGUCAAGGGAAGAAGAAUGAUGAAGUAUCUAGUCUGGAUGCUUUCUUGGAUUUGAUCCGAAACUUGUUCCCUGAAAAUCUAGUUCAAGCAUGCUUUCAGCAGAUCCAAACUGUCACCAAGAGAGUGCUGGUGCCACCACCCAUUGAAGAGCCACCUAACGUCACUGAUUCUGCUUUGGCUAUGGUGAAUGAGACAGCACCACCUGAAGCCCAGAUGGUCAUUAAGAAGGGACUUGAAUUUAAGGAUGGCAUGAAUGUCCUGGGUUUGAUAGGAUUCUUUAUUGCUUUUGGCAUUGCUAUGGGGAAAAUGGGAGAACAGGCCAAGAUGAUGGUGGAUUUCUUCAACAUCCUGAAUGAGAUUGUAAUGAAGUUAGUAACUAUGAUCAUGUGGUAUUCCCCUUUGGGUAUUGCUUGCCUCAUCUGUGGAAAAAUCAUUGCAAUCAAGGACUUAGAAGUAGUUGCUAGACAACUUGGCAUGUACAUGGUCACUGUGAUUGUGGGUCUUGUCAUCCAUGGAGGGAUCUUCCUGCCUCUGCUCUACUUUGUGAUAACAAGGAAAAGCCCAUUUUCAUUCCUUGCUGGGAUUUUCCAGGCAUGGAUCACAGCACUAGGCACAGCUUCCAGUGCUGGCACAUUGCCUGUCACAUUCCGGUGUCUUGAAGAAAAUCUCGGCAUUGAUAAGCGUGUAACAAGGUUUGUUCUUCCUGUUGGAGCAACUAUUAACAUGGAUGGAACUGCCCUUUAUGAAGCUGUGGCUGCCAUCUUCAUAGCACAGAUGAAUGGAAUUGACCUGGAUGGAGGCCAGAUAGUUACUGUGAGUUUGACUGCCACCCUUGCAAGUGUUGGAGCUGCCAGUAUUCCCAGCGCUGGACUUGUCACUAUGCUUCUGAUCCUUACUGCAGUGGGUCUCCCUACCCAGGAUAUCAGUUUGCUUGUUGCUGUUGACUGGCUUUUGGACCGGAUGAGAACGUCAGUCAAUGUAGUGGGGGAUUCUUUUGGUGCUGGCAUUGUCUACCACCUUUCCAAGGCAGAACUUGACACCAUUGAUUCCCAUCAUAAAGGGCACGAAGACAUUGAAAUGACCAAGACUCAGUCGAUCUAUGAUGACAUGAAAAAUCAUAGGGAAAACAACUCAAACCAAUGUGUUUUUGCAGCUCACAACUCAGUCAUGGUAGAUGAGUGCAAGGUACCUUUCACAUUUAUGGAUAUUGAGACAUGUAUAUAGCACUGCAUGCUUUAUUUUAUCUUAUUUUUUAACCUGCAUGUAUUUUUCAAAUCGUUCUGCAAAUAACAAUGUGACAACAAGGUUCAUGAACCCCAGACAUUUUGAAUGUGUUUGAGCAGAUCAAAAGAUGUUUUUUUGCACUCUUCUUAAAACUUGUCAUUUGAUGGGAAAAAAUCAUGUACAUUGUUUACAUAUCAAAAGGCAAGAUGCAGCGUAUUAUGGAAUAUGCCAAGACGCAGAGAAUAUGGCAUCACCUUCCAUGGACGUUUACUUAAUUUUCUAUGGCAACAGAGAACUUAAUUGCCAACCCAAAUGAAGGAUAGCUGAAAUUCAGAUACAGCUGCUGUCACUUGCUGACUGCCUUCCUGAUAUGCUGUUCAGAGAUCGACAUGUUGAAUGCACUUUAGCAUCAGAAGGCUCCUGCACUCAUACAGCAUGCUCAUGCUUCGCUUCGCACAUCGUUCCUUCUUGAGUCAUUAAGACACAAACAUUGUAUUCUCUCUCUAAUCCUUGCUGUAACUAAUGGAGAAUAUUAACAGUAAUAAUAACACCUUGAUCAGAGUAAAGUGAGCUUGGGAAACUCCACCAGUUGAAUGAGAAAAUGGUUGGGGAGAUUAGUGGUUAAAAGUUCACUAAGAACCCACCACUAGGAUGGGGCAGUUUAAGACGGGGAGAGAGCUUUUGAAAAGGAGGAGAAAGAGAAUGAAAACAAGAUGGAACCUUUAAUUGCGUAGUCUUUUUUUUUGUUUAUAAACACUCCAGUCUGAUGCUGUACCCUGUCUUUGAGACAGUAAAUUUGCCAAUUGGCCCACCUUAGCCACUUAUCCAAAGAGAUUCUCUUGUAUCUUCCAGUUGCCACAACUGAGCCAGUAUCUAACUGUGAAUGACUGCACUAAGUCCAUUAGCAGAUUACCAUAUAGAUCACCAAAACAUUAUUAAAACAUUAUCAAAACAUAACUCCUAUUCUAUCAUUUUCACUUGUCUCUAGCCUGGCUGGAAAUGUUCUUUAGAAUAUUUGUUUUUUCUAAUGCUUACUUCCUGAUAAUGUAGGCCAAACCUGAAUUGUCAGGGGAAAAAAUAAUACUGAAUUCAGAAAAAAACCCCAGCUUUCAUCUUCAAUUUUUCCCUGAAUCUUCCAAGGUUUCAAUAAAAUGAUUUUGUAAAAAUGAAAGCAUACAUUUUAUUUUGACAUGGCUCCCUCUUUCUCUUCUGGCCCACUCUUUUUCCAUGAGAAAAAUUAAAAAAAUAGAAACUGAAAUGGAAAGAGAAUACAUGCUUACACAAAAUCAAAAAUUGUCAAGAAUUUAUAUUUCUCAAAAAAGGGAAGGAAGGACACAAGAGAUUAAAAUUUGAAGGAAAAAAGAAAUUCUCCAGAGAGAAAGAUAAGAUUUGAUAAUUUUUUUUCAUUAAAAAUAAGCAUGGGCACAGCCUCCCUUUUUGGAUAACUUCCUUUAGAAUUUUUGGAAAAGUGUUUUUGAGUUAAAUAGACUAUACUAAUUUCAGUGGGUUUAAGACAAAUUAAGCUACCCUAUAUCAGUCUUGAAUCACGUUCAUGGAACUGAAUACUGAUAAUUUUGUCUGCUUCCAGUCUCUCAGGUUUGCACAGAGAUCCAAGUCAAGUUAGGAAGCUGUUGCAAUCAAUAUUUGCUGGACUUUCUUUUCUCCUUCAGUGUCCCUUAUCAUUUCCCUCAUUUGAGGCAGAAGCUUGCCUCAAAACAGUGGAUUAAUAGUGUAGUAUGUCAUCCUAAGCACACCCUUUAAUUAAAGUUUUGGACUGAGGAUUUAUGAGCUAGAAGUGUUCGACCUUUUUAACAGUUAAAGGUUUGCUCUGCUUGCAAUCUCAUUUUGCACUUUUAAACUCAUGAAAAGAGCCAGGCUUUUCUGGAUUGAGCACAAGACAGACUUUGAGCAGGUCACUUCUCUUGUCCACGUGUCUGUCUGCAAGCUGCCAAAAGGAUGUGUUGUUGUGACCUAAUUGAUAAGCUAUGGUGACAUCUGCAAAGUGUUUGGACCAUGUUGAAGUAUCUGUACAGCUCCUAAGUGUUAGACUAGCAAAGGCAAUAGAGUGCAGGAUUUGGGGCUUCAAAACAAGCAACAGUUAAAUCUGAAGAGACUUCUCUUCAUCCUGUCAAAUGCACUGGUGGGUUGAAAAGCAUACUGCAACUCUGAUCAGGAUUUGGAAAAGCUAAUCUACUAGCAUGUCCUUUCUAUUUACUUUCUGUAAUAUAUUCCAUGUAUAACACUAGUACUUUAUAAUUUUGCAUGGUUAAUGUACAUAAUUAAUAAUUAGUUUACCUUUAUAUGGGGGUAGAAUGGUUGUUAUUGCAUGAUAUUUUUGUAUUUUUUUUAUUACCACAUUUCUCAUGUCUCUGUGUGAUUUUCAUUUCUGAGCAAGCUGUUCAUUCCUGUAUUUGCAUGUUUCCCCCUUUCAAUGAUCUAAGAAAAAGCUUGACUUUGUUUCAAAAAUCAGUGCAUUUUGUCAUGUUUCCAUGUCCCAAUGCUUCCAUGCAUCCAGUUUAUCCAGCAUGGGGAAUUUCAGCUCUGUCUUUAAGUUUUCAUUUGAAGCUGAGGAUGUUAACUUACAAGGUAACACUGGCAACCAAUGGCAAAUCUGCAGACUUCAGUGUUGUUGAAGAAGAGCCUUGGAAACGUGAAAAAUAAGUGAAGAGAUCCCUAGCUGCGUCUUUAAUAAGCCCUGGAGCUAUCUUCUGGCAGAAGAUAUCAUGACUAAAGAAGAUUUCUCCUUUUUUUUCUCUUUUUUUUUUUUUCCUAUUUAACAUCUACAAUUUCUGCUUACUUAAUUUUGUAAAUGAAACUUAGCAAAGAUCUCAUCAAGUCAUUGUAAUGUCUUUGCCAAGCAAUGAUCCAUAACCAUCUGUCUCCCUUGUGUUACUGUUUGGAUGAUGCAGCUGGAGAAUACUCCAUGCGGUGCAAUGUGCUCUCACCCACUUUCCCUUUCAUUCAAGACACAGAGAAUGUAAAUGCUGCAAAAUGGGAAGAUCAAAGUGCCAGUACAGUUCACCACAGGGACUCAGGGUCACAAAUACAAGAGAAACAUAACACCACAUAAGCCUUCAAGUGUUUUGGUGACUCUUGUGACAUACCUGAUCUGUUUAUCACUGUAUGGCUAAAAUAUCUUUUGAAAACGUCCAUAAUGAUUUCUAUUUGUUUUAAUAACUACAAGCACUGUACUUUUGUGCCUAAUUGUACUUCAAACUGACCUUAGAUCCAGGGGCAAGAUUAAUGUACAGAAGUCAAUAAAUUAUCCCAGACAUUGUGUUCUGUACAACUGAUAGUUAGCAUGAAGAGAAGACCUUAGAUUUGUAUGUGCAUGUGGUGUGUUUUUAUCAGAUGUCCCAGGGUAGGUGCAGCCUUUAUUUUAUGAUGGUGCAGUGCUCCUUUGUGACCACAGUGCAUCAUAUAAUACAAGGCAGUAUAAUUACAGGGGUGGUAUUCACUAAAUCUGCCUGAUGUGCAAAACCACAGACUCAGUUAUGGCAUUCUUAAUCAAAGUAGGUAGUACCUUAAUGUUCACCCUGCUCCACUGCUCAGAGAGAUUCCUCAUGUGGAUGAGAUUGCUCCAGUAAGGUACUACUGAGAUUGAUCAUGGAUGUUACAAUUGGAUACUUGAGCUACAAACAAAUUCUGAAUCCAUUAUUCUUAGAGAAUUGUUGAAUGAGAUCAUCAGUAGCAUUUGCUAUGAAGUGAAAGCCAUCUUUCAAGUAUAUCAUGUUUCAGUGAAUGGCUAAAUCCUGAAUUCAUUGCUAAGCCAAAUUUCAUACAAAGUUAAUAAAAUUUUUCUGGAGUUAGGACUAAAAGAAGACUAAACCAGAAUUUCAGGAUUUAUUGAAUUUACAUCUCUGUCUCUUUUGCUGAGUAGUAAGUCAUGUAACUCCUUAAUGGCAGAGAAAUGUUUCUUAGAGAACAUGGCAUCUGAACUAAUGAGACAGUGUUUUGUGAACAGAUUAUAUCUGAUUCAUCCUGUCAGAAGAAGUUACAGUUACAAUAAUUGCCCUGUGAAGUGUUUUUAAAGGUGCUUGUUAAUAUUCAGCAAUUUUAAGAUACUGGUGAAUGCCAUUAUACUAUUAGCAAUGUUCUAUAGCAAAGCUGAGCCACAUGGCCUUGCAAGGCUCUACUCACAGAACAAGCUUUGUGCAAUUUUUGGGGGAGCUCUCGGAAGUUCUCAGAAUUAAUCAGAAUAUGAGCAUAUGGUGAACUUAAAAAUGGCAGUAAACAGAGUUGAAACAUUUAUGGAAAUAGACCAUUCAGUGUCUGUGCUCAGACCUGUCAUGGAUUUAAACAGGAAUAAUGUGUUUAACUGUAGGGUGUUAUUUGGCUCUGUAGAAGCUAUUAAAAUAUAAAUAUGGUCUGCUUUUGUUCAUCUGCAUUCAUAUAAAUAUCUCUGUAAAUGCACACAGACUUGAGCCAGCUAAGGCUACUUGCAUGGUUAAUGAUGUGCAAGAUCAAGUCCAUUGUCAGAGUAUCCCUCCUUUAAGCAUUUGUUGUGGAAUAUUUUUCUUACCGUUGUAUUUUUGUAAUCACUUGAAUUCCAUGGCUACAAUCCUAAGCAAAAUGACCUAUAUAAUUAACAAAUAUUGAACCACUGUGAAUUCUGUAGGCCUCUAACAUGUAUUAAAGGUGGAGACCUUUUCCAGAGGCCUCCUGAAGUAUCUUAAGGAUAAUUUAUUUUUGGUGAAGGAUGGAAUUGUAUGUUACUCAGAAAAGUGGCAGGAAGGUUCUCUUUUCUUCAGUCAUUGUUGUUAGCAUAUCCAGAGUUAACCUAUAUCUAGCUACUGCUUUUCCCAAUUAGCUUUCACUGGGUUAUGUGCCAGAAAUGUGCCUGGGAUGCUGUGUAGGUACUGUAAAAUGUUCCCUGCUCUGAGGGUGCUGGCUCACAUCAAGUGAAAUUUGCUGUGACUUGGGUAGCAGUUAUAUCCAAGAAAAAUACAUAGCGUUUACCCUGGUUUAUAUCCAGCAUUCUUGAGCUGUUUCAUGGCACAGCUCACCCCAUAACAGAUGAUUUUUCAUCCUCUUCACCAUAGCAGUUUCUUAGGAGCAGCCACAACGAUUGCUUGCCUUUAAAGUAGCUUUAGAAAAGUGGUCCAUAUACUUUUAGCUGUCAUUUGAAACUGUUUAGCAUUUGGAAACAAACAGGAAUGUCAUCAACAUGUGACUAGGCAGCUCCACAAAAUUACAUACUGAGAAAUGCUUAAAAUAUGCUUACAGUUAUCCACUUGGGAUGUACUGUCCUUUGAAGACUGCUUCUUUGGAUGGAGACUAGGGAAGGAAGGAAUGCAAUAAUAGAGAAACCCCACCCACAUAUGGAAGAAUAAAUUUGGGUCUUUUGAUAGGAUUAGAAUAGCAGACUGUGAUUUUAAAAUAGUAAUUCUGUAGAUAGAGUAACUCAGGGAUUUUUCAAAAGAUAAUUAUGAUGGUAUUCCUCUAUUUAAAUGUGGAUGUGGGAGAAGGAGAAAUGUUGGGUUUUUUUAUUCCUCUACUUGUAGCCUGACUGAAUAUUUAAUAUAGUGUUACUCCAGUGCAGCACUGUAUUAAAUCAUCAAAAAGCUUUCCACUUCUGUGGGAAAAUGUAACUCACUCUUGGCUUUCAUUUCUCAGUUUGCUCAAUCCACAUGAGGUUGGGUUGCUACUUAACUAAACAAACAGAAAAUAACCAGGGGACCGUCCACUUCAGUUAAUACAAAGUUCACAUUUCAGCAGGCAGUGCUGGUUACUUGCCAGCCUCCUUUUAGUUUCACUAGGAGUGUCGAUGCAUUCAUUUGAAUCUGGCAAUUUUUUUGAAUGUGUGCACAGUGCUGGGGUGGCAAAGUUAAAGGAAAAGCACAGUGGAAAGUGAUUUGUUUUCUGUGUAGUUCAAAUUAACAUUUCUUUGUACAUUCAUCUCACUUGCUGCUCUGUCAGUUCCCCCCACCUUUGUCUGUGCAACUGCAAUAACUUUUGGCCUUUGGAUUGCUGACAGCACGCUGGCACAUGGAAAAGUCUAGACCAGGCUAAGACUCAGUUAAUUGCAUACUAAAUUAAAUACAUACUUAUGUGUUUGCUUUGUUCAUUUGCUGCUGCAAGUGAGGUCGGCAUUCUCUUAGUAUCUGUUCACUGAAACUAAAGCACACUCUAUGCUAAAACUAUGGGAGAGGUGGAGCACUUUGACAUUGAACUUGUUUCUUCAUUGCUUCCCUUGGAAGACAAAGGCUGCACCAGCCUUUUAAGAAAGGUGUGUGAGUCUUAUACAUGAAGAUGCUUCAAAUAGAUAGAGGAUAAGCCAUUUGAACUGUUUUAUGAGAUGUGCUCUUUCUGUUUGAAUUGGUGAGAAACUUGGUAUGUCUUUGAAAAAUUGUUUGCAGUGGUAAAACCUGUGCCUGCAAUGCUUUGACUGUUGGACUACAUGAAACCCCACUGAAAUCUGUGGGAGUCACAAGCUUCCAGGAAAAGUCAAGUCCCUUCCUGUCUCUGUUAAGUUAUAAGACAUUUCACAAUCCCAUCCUAGGGAAUAGUCUUUCUUCUAUUUAUAAUGAAGUUGAUUCUCACAUCCAAAAAGAUUUCUGCCAAGAUGGUUCUUUUUUACCUAAUUGUUUCUAUGCUACAAGUCCAGCACUGAAAUUAAAACUCAGCACAAAAAGAAGGAUCACUAUCAUUAUAGGUUUUUUCCAUGUCUUCUCUAAGGUACAGCUGAGCUCUGUUUUUUCUCAAAGCAUGUGGAAUUCCAGACUUUAUGCCACUUUUAAAGUAAGAAUAAUAUAGAUUUCUGAUUUGUUUUCCAUCACUCCCAGGGUCAUUAUUUUCCCAGCAGUAGAUACUUAGAAGAGUACACUGUUCAUCUGAGAAGUGGCAGCACUAGUGUUUGAACAAACUUAUUUUGGUGACUGCCUGGAUUUUCUUUGCUUCCUUGCCUUCACUUGUGUUAUUGCAGCCUUGUUGUAGCAACACAGCAGCAAUCGCACAAAUCCGCAUAACUAUAGGUAGUAUUAAACCUCACCUCUGACAUUCACUUCUGUAAUUAUCUUCAAAAGGGCUCUGAGCUUUAGUACCAGGCUCAGAAGAAUCUUUUGUGGAGAUGUAAAGGUAUAACUGUUUCUCAUUUCAUUAAGUUCCAUUCAUCUAUUUUUAUUGCUGCAUUUGAAUUAAUUUACAGAAGGAUAAAUAAGGGCACUUUAUAAAAAUGUACUGUAAUAUUAUUCUGUUAUGAGCCUGAAGACUGUCCUUGAUUUUAUUACUGUGACUUUUAAGGCCACAAUUAUGAUAUUUUUCAUAUUAGCUAUUGUGAUAGGUGUAGAGUCCAUUGGGACAGUUAACCUCGGCUAUAAUUCACCAUGUACCACUAUAGAGAAGCUUCUGUUCCCAGCAGAAAGCAUUCUUCUCUCCAGUAAUACUGAUGACUUUGAAGGAAAAAUAUUUACCCCAUUUCCUUUGUCUAAAUAGUGAUAUAUAGAGUGUAGUUUCAAGUACUAAAAAAAAAAAAAAAAAGUAAUUACGAUUCUGAAGUGUCAAAGAAGGCAGUCAAGCUGUAAAUGUAUUGUUCAGCUUCACCAUGUAAAUUUUUUUUAAAUGUUGUGUUCUUGCUCACAAUUUUCCUGAAAUAAUGUAUUUAGUGCACAUUCCUUCCAAAGUCGUCAGUCUUUCCUCCCACAUAGGCACGAAGGUUGUAUCUCUCCAUGGUCCUCAGACAAAGCACAGACUCUGCAGUUCUGCACACUUAAGGCAGGAUUCUGGGUAAAGUCCCCAGGAACAGUGCCUGAGGACUGUACAACAGAAGCCUCCUUCAUUUUUAAUUCCUGAUCAUGUUUUAUGUUAAAUUGAAAUCUGCUGCUAUGAAUGAGUCAAAUCGCUGCUGAUGCCCAGGUGCUGGUAAUUCUUUUACUUCUUUUAUGAGUGGGCUCCCUGGCACAAGGCUCUGAGGAACUGUCCCUCACAUGUGCCCACAAUCUUAGAGACAUUUUCCCCUGCUCAGGGGAAACCCAGUGACUCCCCACUACCGGGUUGGUGUAAGUCCUGUCACAGAUAAAGUGGUUGUGCAGUUGCAACUACAAGUCUUAUGAAAAAGCCAGGUUCCAUAUAUUGAAAAAACCUAGAGCAUAUGACUGAGCCACUGAGUAGGUCUCUACUGGUCCAGGAUGGAAAUAACUGACAGACUAAUGCAAGACUGGGGAGACAAGAAGACUUGUGAGAUUUAUCACUUCACCCAACCUUUGACCCCCUUUCAUUUCUAACUACAUUCUGCUGCAGGGCCAUUGCUGAUCGAUGCUAGAGCAUCCAAUCCUUCUAGUUUGAUUUUUCAACAUUCAGGACUCCUGCAACUGUUUUUAAUGAUGCUCUGUGGCAUACAUCAUUGCAUGUAGGGAAACUGGCAUAGGCAGCAUCACACAACCUGGAUUGUCUUGUACCUGUAUAUUGCUUUGUACAUAAAUAAUAUAGUUUGCAGGGAUUUUUGUAUCAUUCUUUUCCAUUUGUUUUCUACAUUUUUUUUGGAGACUGUAUGCAAACUGUGCUUGCAUAUUGAUUUUGUAGUUAGUAUUGUAGAUCAUAGCAUUUCCAUUUUGAUGGUUUCUUUGGAUUUGUGAGUUCCUGUGCACUACAGGUUGUCCUUCUUUCUUAAAGACAAUUGCAUACACUUCCAUCCAACACAUCCUGCUCCUUUCUUAAAUAUAUCAUAUUUCCUAUGAUCUGGUAUGAACUCUUGCUUGUAGAAUGCAUCAGAAAAAGCUGAAUAUGUAUUUAUAGUGUUAAAUAUUGUAUGAUCAACACUGAUUUAGUUAAGAAUAAUACAGGUUUUAGGGUUUGUACUUGUUCUCUGGAAACUACAGUGUAGACUGACUUAAAUUACCUAGUAUCUGUAAUUUACAGACACACAAAUAUUUUCUUAUAAUAUUUUCUAUGUGAUUAUAUAAGGUAGGGACAUAACUCUUUAAAGGUGACCAAUACCUUAGAACAAAACCAGUUUUCUUAUGACAUUUAGGAUCAAUUAAAUAUUUCUGUGUUACGUUUAGUGACAAUUUAUAGACAAAGCACAAAAUGCAAGAAGCAAAUAGGAAUUUCAAGAUGUCCUUAAAUGCUGCAGUUCAUUAUGGAACAAUGUUAUAUUAACCUAAUCUGAGCAAUCUUCUAGGUUGACUGUCUUGGGCAAUCGUCCCUCAUUGUUAUAAUUUUUCCUGAUGUUACCUUUGCCAAAUCCUGCAGUUCUUUCUUAGGCCCUGAUAAUGUAUGUUUGUUUGACUCAAAAUGCAGUUUUAGAAAAACUGGAGGAGGCAAAAAAUGUGUUAUCAGGUAUCCCGUCCAUCUUGCUACAAUACAAUGUGUGUGAGUUUAGCCUGUGGAAAGAAUUUAUGAUCUCACCACCUACUUUUGCCUUCUUGAAAAAGGACCAACAAACACACCAUGGGACCAAUGGAAUUGGGUAGCAUCCAUACAAAUACCUCCUGCUUUCUUAUGUAUUUUAAAGAGAAUAACCACUAUAUUUUUCGACCCAGAUGACAGUUACUUCUCAUUUUGGUCAUCUCUUCCCAUUAGGCAAAUACCUGUUGGCAUUAAGGCCAUGGCUAUAGUAAUUUCUACUUAAUAAAUAAGGAACUGUUUUUAGAGGAAUAAAAAUAAAUUAAUAUAAAUAUUCAUAACAAUUCUAGAACAAAAAUCUUCUAUGGCCUACUAGCUCUUUGACUGUGAUUCAAAACAAAGAAAACAUUGAAUAGCAAGGACUGCUGUCUCAGUGUGACUGAUACUGGGUAUCUCUUUAACAAUUAAAAAAAUCUACGGGGCCAUGUUAUUCUGCUGAGGUUUUGGAGCCUAAGUUUAUAGUAGAUAUAUAUAUGUAGGAAGUGUGUUGAUAUACCCUUGUAUUUUAAUCUUUAUUGUAUUUUAAAUCAGAUGUAACAGGUAUUAUCUUAAUAGGAAUCACAGGUAGAAUAGUGCUGAGUUACUAAUAGCUGGAAAACCCUAUUGAUACCAGUUUUGACAUUUUGUUGAAGCAUGAUGUCCAGUGCCUCUCUGCACUUAGUGUAGAUAAUGUAGCUAUCAACAUGUAAUUUCAGUGAAAUGGUGUAUACAGUAUGUGUAGCAGUGCAUUAAUUUAAUUUAAUUGGUUUCUAUGUGUUGAGCCAUAGUAGAAAGUUAGACUGUGUUUCGAAAUUUUGUUCUACUUUCUGUUUUUCAUUUGUAUCUGGGUUUGUUUCUUUUUGGUCAUUCAACUGAUUAGGUUCUAUAGCUUAGUAACGACUUUGUCUGUCUGUUGUGGAGUACCCAGUUCUGAUAACAUUCAGAAUCGUGUAUGCAGACAGCUUAUUGUAAAUAUGUUCAUUUUAGUUUUCAGCUAUCUAACCAGUAUGGUGUGUGUUAGAAGCUGCAUGUGUGUAGUUCUCUGGCAGUGAGUGAAAGUGAUCCCAGCAUAGAUUUCCUGCCUUGUGAAUGCACUUGUUAUUACACGUUAAUGAAUUAAUGUUCACAUAGAAUGAUAAGUUUUGUUUUCUUCUUGUUUGCUUGAAAUGUUUGAACUCUUUAUCACCAGAAGUUUAGUAAGUCACCGUUUAAAUUGGCACAGUGAAAAAGGGGAAAUCCAUCUAACUGCAUUCCUGUUGGAUGCCCUGGCUGCUUUUGACUCUGUGCAACGUUCAGCCCUUAGUCACAUCACGGCAUCAUAGGAUCCCUCUGAGUCAUUUCCAGUUUCUCCUUGACCACAGAUGCCAGGAAAGCAGUGCAGUCCCACGGCUGUGACUGGGCAAGUCUGCAGGCAGCAAGGGGCUGCCAGUUCUCUUCAGAGUGCCUGAGAAGUCCAAGUAGGAACCUCUAAUUCAUCCCUUUAGUAGGAACAGUCUCUGAGAAAGAUGAAUACACUCAUGGACAAAGGGGCACUGUUUCUUUCACUGUUAAAAAGGGAUAUUAACACUUAUUGGAAAAUAAAUGCAAAACUAACAGCUUCUCAGACUACUGUUGUUGUUGUAUAGGCCUGUUAUUUACAGAACUACUAUGUCUGAUCAUAAAACAGACAUAUGAACUACAAAGUCAGUGGCAAAAAAAUCUUCUGAAAUCAGGGCUGCAGUUCAGAUCUAUGAGAAAAUAAGGCUGUGUAGAAAGAAGCAGCUGAUUCAUUCCUAGUACCCUGGACCUGGAUCUCAGAAAUGUAAUCAUCCCCUGUAAGCAGAAAGAAAUAAAAAUCAGGCCCCAAAGCACAGAGUCUAUCUUGUUUGGUGAGUCCCAUUAUGAUGCUUCAGGAUGAAUUGCAUGCUGGAGUACUGAGUGCUGCCUAUUCAUCAUCCCUUGCCCCUUCUUUAAGGUGACCAGGCAUGAACUGGAAUGUUUUGCGACCUUUCACGUAAAAAGGAUUAAAAGGAAGAGGGAUAAGGUUGGUCUUUUCUUUACACUCAAAAAUUUCUGCAGAUUUUGAAAUUACAUACUGUACAGAAUCUAUAGCACAGUUUGUUUAAAAAUUAAUGAAUGCAGAUGAUUAAAUUUCUCCCAACUCUGGGCUCUGUUCUUGUAUAUUGUAGUUGGAAUGCCUUGUAGACUGAUUCUAUUUUUGUAGUUCAGAUCCUUUCCUCUUUACAAGGAUUGUUAGUCAUUUGCUUUUAAUGCUUUCUUACAGUGUGAACUGAUUUCUGUAACUUUCAUAUAUAAAACAAACUAGACAUUCUUUCUAUACUGGAAAUAUAGUCAUGAAUAUAAUAUUUCACUAAGUGUUGUAUCUCUUAUGUACAUACAUCAAUAAAUGUUGAUUCAUAAUUUUCA